Molecule: long non-coding RNA, 2794 nt
Organism: Triticum aestivum (bread wheat)
Lineage: Eukaryota; Viridiplantae; Streptophyta; Magnoliopsida; Poales; Poaceae
Exons: 5
Source: RefSeq, a predicted model, not a curated record
GAGAGCCUGGACGAACCCUCUCCCGUAAACCUAGCGCACCAGGUCCAAUCCACUCCGUCCUCGAGCCCCACGCCAUUCUUCUUCCUCUCCGCGCCGUCCGGCCUCCCCUGCUCCACGACCCUCUGCCUCAGGGCCUCCCGCACCGCCGCCUUCUCUUCCGGGCCUCUUCUCUGGCGCUCGAGAUGCAGCCGGGGCGACCUCCUCCUCUUCCUCUCCUCCUUCCCUGCCUCCGGAUCUAGACAAGUGAAAUCUGGAGGGGAGACGAGUAAAGGGCGACGGAGGCGGCACUCGAGCAGAUGAGAGGGAGAGAGAAGGAAGAAGAGGCGGUGCUCGAGCAGAUGAGAGGGAGAGAGAGGUAGGUGCAGCAAGGCGACGGACGGGAGAGGGGCGAAGGCGAGCUCCAGCGCGAGCGCGUGGACCCGUCACCCACGCCGGCGAGGUCCUCGGCCCCGAGCUGUGCCUCUACCACCGCGAAGGGGACUGCUGCGACCACGCUCGUGCGCACACACACUGUGCCGUCUCCAGGUGCCAGUUGAAGUUACUGCCGGGCUUUAUUGCCCUCCUCUAAUUUGGUGUUGUGGGAGAAAGAAGAAGAGCAGGCAUGUUCUCUGUUUCUACAUCCAGCGUCCACACGGCUAGAUCGACGGGUCUAAACUCUUGAAUACAGAAAGAAUAAGCUACUAGCAUUCCUAAUGUGCAAGUAAACCUACUGGGAUUAUGACUGCAAAAAAAAUUCAUGACAUAUGUUGAAGUAUGGCCUUGAAAGGUAAGUUGAAUGGCUGGAGAUGCUCAAAAGAUGUAACAAAGAGAGAAGAUAAGAGGGAGAGAGAGAAGGAGAAGAGGGAGUACUCGAUUCGAUCUGCAGGAGAGAGAGAAGAUAAGAGGGAGAGAGAGAAGGAAGGAGAGGAGGGAGAACUCCGUUGCCGCCGCGUGCCGUACUUCUGGAUCGAGCGCUGCCUGACCAAGGGAUAAGAGUAGGAGGAUGAGUGGAGCAGCUGCUGAAGCAGGCGCGGCGCUGGUGCGCUGCUGGCGAAGCGGUGGUCAACGGUGCCGUCGACGUCGUCCUUGGCAGAAGGUAAGCCUAGAUCAAUCUCACAAUAUUCCUUUGUCGUCUGUGUUCUUAUGCAACUUAGUGAUUGGACUUUCUCUGUUAUGUUUCACAAAUUGCUACUUUUAGUUAUCCCCAUUGGCUUGUGCAUAUGCUUCUGCUGGGUCGUUCUUGUUUAUUUUCUCUAUCCAACAUUGUGGCAGGUUGGUGUUUCCUCUCUUUCUCACUGCAGCUACCUAUGCCUCUAUUAUUCUAGGAUUUUGCAAGUUAAAUACUCAUGUGUGCUGAACUGAAAAGUUCUCUAUGCAACAUCUAUUGCAGGUUGGUGUUUCCUACCUAUGCCUCUAUUAUUCUAGGAUUUUGAAAGUUAAUUGCUCAUGUGUGCUGAAUUGAAAAGCUCAAUGAAAGGCACUUAUUUCUACGCACAAAUGCUUUUGUUGCUAUAAGAAUCUGUAGAGAAGAAAUAUAUAUGUCUCCUCCGUUCAUUGCCCUUUUUUUGCGGGUAGUUCAUUGCCAUUUUGGAUUCAUAUGUGAAGUCUAUUGUUGUUAAUUACAGUUAACUAAUUUAUUAAUUCAUGGUUGUUUUAGUUGCUGACCAUAUGAUUGGUAGCCUUGGACAGAAGAGGGCCAGCAACAAACAUAAGCAAUCACUGUCCUGUCCAGAACAUGUAUAUCUUCAGUUUUGGUUGCCUUCCGUUUACUUGCCAACAAGCGACACUGAGCUCACAUAUUUACUGUUUGCUUUGUUAUAUACUUAAUCUACUAGACAAAGUGUAAAAUGGAAAUUCAUGCUCGACAAUUUUGUAUAUUUAUAAACCUAGAUGCUACUCUAAUUGGUUUUACUUCUUCUAUAUAUUUUCUCCUGUUGGUGUGUAUAAAUAGUGCACAAAGUUAGUUUCUUUUCCUUCUCGACCGCAUCUAAUUUUAAAGAAAAUAGAGAGGAAUCUAAGAGAUACACAACCAGAAGAACUUUGUUUCUUUGACUUUUCGGCUGUGUCUAACUUUGGUAAAAGAGAGGAAUUUGAGAUAGAUAGACAACCUGAAGAGCUUUGAACAGCUUUGAACGUUCAAGUAUGCUGCCGGCCUCCUCGCCGCUGCUGUCGCGUGGCUGGCACCAGUGUGUGGCAGCUGCUGAGAUGGGCGCAGUUUACUCCGGGUUCGGUGAUGGUGUUGAAAAGCACCUUAACUGAGCCAAGGAAUUUAGUAGCAUUGUGGGAUGAUUAACCAAUUUUUUUUCUGUUUCCUAUACUAUCUUCUCAUAUUAUAGUUUUGGUGUCCUGGUAGGCAGGGAUCAACUUUGGUGGCAUCCGAUGCUGGCAGGCCACGGGGUUAGAGCAGAGGAAGCUGACAUGGUGUUCGAAAUUCAGAUGGUCAUUGUGAUAGAAGAAAGUGCAUAAAGAAUGAACAAGGAAAAGCUACAGAUUGAUAUGUCCAGGUUACAAAUUUUUCUACCUCCACCCCAUAUUCCCACUUAUGGUUUAGUGAAGAGUAUGAUUUCUCGCUUGGGAGGAUGCCAUGCACAAGAUAUGCAUUUGUUUCCAAUGCAUUUUCAUUAUAUUUGCUUUGGUUUAAGUUAUAAAGCAACCUUCUAGAGCAGAUCAUUUUUGAUGGAUAUAUGACGACAGGUCUGCGAUUGUAUUGUCAAAAGCAAACCUAGGGUAUUUGAUGUUUCCAUGUAGUUUUAAAACAACCUCCUAGCACUUUCAUUUUAGAUAGAUAUAUAAUGGUACGAGAUUGACCAUGUCC